AGCUCCGAUAGCGUAUAUUAAAGUUGCUGCGGUUAAAAAGCUCGUAGUUGUACUUCAGUUCAUUCCAAGCGGUCCACCUCACUGGUGGCUACUGCUUGGAUGAACAUCCAGCCGAUUUGCUUACUGAUGCCCUUAACCGAGUGUCAGUAUCGAUCGGUACUUUUACUUUGAAAAAACUAGAGUGCUCAAAGCAGGCUCUAAAUUGCCAGAAUAUUCUUGCAUGGAAUAAUGGAAUAGGACUUCGGUUCUAUUUUGUUGGUCUCCUGAACCUGAAGUAAUGAUUAAGAGGGACAGACGGGGGCAUUCGUAUUGCGGCGCUAGAGGUGAAAUUCUUGGACCGUCGCAAGACGAACUACAGCGAAAGCAUUUGCCAAGAAUGUUUUCA
Molecule: ribosomal RNA, 385 nt
Filed under: uncultured eukaryote
Lineage: Eukaryota
Description: SSU rRNA
Rfam family: Eukaryotic small subunit ribosomal RNA
Source: RNAcentral